Molecule: ribosomal RNA, 253 nt
Filed under: uncultured bacterium
Lineage: Bacteria
Description: partial 16S ribosomal RNA
Rfam family: Bacterial small subunit ribosomal RNA
Source: RNAcentral
UACGGGGGGGGCAAGCGUUGUUCGGAAUUACUGGGCGUAAAGGGCUCGUAGGCGGCCAACUAAGUCGGAUGUGAAAUCCCCAGGCUUAACCUGGGAACUGCAUCCGAUACUGGAUGGCUUGAAUCCGGGAGAGGGAUGCGGAAUUCCAGGUGUAGCGGUGAAAUGCGUAGAUAUCUGGAGGAACACCGGUGGCGAAGGCGACUCUUUGGCCUGUAACUGACGCUGAGGCGCGAAAGCGUGGGGAGCAAACAGG